CUCUCACCGUGCAUUAUUUACUGACAGCAUUGAUGUUUGUCUUCUUUGUUUUUAUUUCAACGAAGGUUUGAAAGUUUCGCAAAAAAUUAUUUCACACUAUUUUGGAAAACUAUGAUACCGCUAGAAACGCUAAGUGCACACUUUCUACAUGAUGCUCUUCCGCUGUUCCCGGAACCUCAGAACAACAACUCAAUGUUGAACCUCGGAGCAACGAUUAUAUGGCAGAAGCGAACCGCGAGUGUGGUGUGUUAAAUUAAAUUGCGAUCCGCUUUUCUUGGAUGUCGCAACAGCCAUUACACGUGCCCGAGUCCCGUCAUCCGGAUCAGAAACUCCAACAGCCGUGGAACAACAGGCCGCUCAUUAAAGGGUUUGGCGCUGCUACCUUCGCAACCCGGUGGAAACUUGUUUCAUUAUCGUCUGUGCAGUUCGUGGAAAUGGUGGUGCUUCUCACCAAUCGCCGGCAUCUAAACAAAUACAGCUCUUUAGCUGUAUUUGUUUAGAUAGUUGUCAACCUAUAACUGGUGCCAGUGAAAAACCGAAGCAACAAAUACCGUUCCUCCCGGCCAGUGUCGAAACAGGAGAGACAAGACUACUAUCGGAACGAUAGUAUUAGCGGUGUUUCAGACGAGGUUUCGGCUGGCGUUAUUUCCUCCCGGCUUUGAAGAUGUUCACAAGGUCAUCAGCUGAUAUUGAAAAUUACCCUCACCCUCUAGUCGCAAAUUGGGCUUUCGUAAUGAUCAUUCAUAAAAAAAAAUGCCCAUCACGACAUAACGGACUUUGCAAGCUAUUUCUGAGUUGAUAUUGGCACGCCAUCUCUUCCUGUCGUGGUAAUCCAAGCCGUAACAGGAUUUAGCGGAUUUUCACCAGAACUGCCGAAACGGUUCUUGAACCAAUGGCACCGAUUAACAGCGGAAACAGCAAACCACCGAACUUGUUCCGGGGCUAGACAGCAGCAUAGGCAUACAGUGUCAACUGAGACUUCACACACAAGUCGCCUAUCUUUAGCCCUGACAGUCCAUCAAGAGCUCCCGACACGGAUCUUAUAAUGCGGAAUCCACCUACUGAUACUCACUGAAUUAGUAGUAGACGCCGUACUCGCUAGAUGCAUUUGAGCACUAUCAACACCGUGAUCCAUGUUCGCCAGUACCAUAAAGUGCCUGCACCUACAAGCAUAUUCCUGAUUUGAGAGUUCAGCAAAUGGCAGAUGGUCCCGUCAACCACUUUUUAAACUGCUGGUGCAGCACUCGAGGCAGUACCGUCUUAUGUCCUAUACAUUCAAUUUUGGUGUAAGCCAGUCAAAGAAAUUAAUUAUAAUUUCAACUUAUAUGUUUGAAUAAAUUCCCUGUCCACGGAUGAUGGGGUCAACGUUGAUAAGUCAAGUGUCUGCAUAUUGUAAUUUGUGAAAUAAUUUGUUAUUUUGUAGUACACAUUGCUAGUAUUGUAGUAUUAUUAGUACCCAACACAUUACCGUUAGAACGAAAUGAAUUUAAUUGCAUCCUAGUAUGGUUACACUAUUAAGCAGUACUGAAGUACUUUAAACCCGUUAACAUUUCAAUUUAAUAGAAACGCGUCGAGUAUUUUUUGUCAAUAUAUAGAAAAUAAUUAAACACUUAUUAUAUCAUACCUUCAUGCAAAUACUUAUAAGUAUUUCUCUAUAGAGAAGGUGUCGCAUGAUCUAACAACAUCUGCUUGAGUAUAUGCUGCGGAGGUUCCGGCAGGGUCUAGUACCAGUCUUAACUAACAUAAUACUAACACAAAAGACUGGGAAGCAAACGAUCAUCCAUUGCACCAAUUGUAGUUUAUAGUUUUGUAUACAGUAAGUAGUAAAAGUAGAUACUGCAGAUUUACUAAUUUUGCAUUAUAUAUGGUGAAUGUAUCUGUUAUUUCUUCUCAGUAAUAUUUGUUAUUUUACUCUUACUUUUACUACAUGGAUCAACGUUUAAACAAACCUGUUUCUCUCUUAAUUUUUUUUUCGGGUUAGAAAAAAAUAAGACAUACUCUAAUGCAGAGAAAGAUUGAAGGACAUAGGAGACGUGACUAAGUGUAUUCUGAAAGACAAAUAAAAUUAGUUGACUACCUUAUAACACAGAA
Molecule: long non-coding RNA, 2091 nt
Organism: Armigeres subalbatus
Lineage: Eukaryota; Metazoa; Arthropoda; Insecta; Diptera; Culicidae
Exons: 5
Source: RefSeq, a predicted model, not a curated record